Myripristis murdjan (pinecone soldierfish) is the source of this 804-nucleotide long non-coding RNA. RefSeq lists it as uncharacterized. The record is from RefSeq and is a predicted model, not a curated record. The transcript has 4 exons. Lineage: Eukaryota; Metazoa; Chordata; Actinopteri; Holocentriformes; Holocentridae.
CGGAAAUGGGCAAGAGGCACAACCAGCAGUGGCUACGACUUCACCCUAACCCACAAACAGGCCUGCUAUCACGGAUGCGCCAGCUGCCACUAAUGCGAUAUUUACGCACCAGUAAACGCAGCAGGUUUCCACGCCACCUGUUUUUGGACGGAAGUUGUUCCUUUGCCUGGCAGCGAAAAGGGUUUUAAUCUCUCCCUGGUUACUUGGAUACAGCUGGGAGAGCUGCUCACCAGCCAGGCUGUAAAGAAAGAAGCAAAGUUAUCCAGAAACAAGAAGCAGAAGUGGCAGUCAUAAGGGAAUGAUGUGUUUUUGCUUCUUUGGAAGAAGAUCAAAGUUCAAACUCAGGAGGGCAUGUUGAUGCAUGUUGCAAAGUGAUCCAAGGCUACAACAUAGAGAUCGAGUUUAAGCAAAGAGGACAGCUCGGUGAAGCAUGUAAGAGUAAAACCUGUGACCCUUGUGCUCAUCACAGCAAUGUCAGAAACCAGGUAUUCCUGAAUUAUUAGCCUCUUCAGUGGGCUGGUGAGCUGUGGGCCUGCUUACCUACAGCCGAUACGCUCCUGGUCUGUCUUUGUGAUUGCAUUAAGUCCAGAUGAGUCUCCAAUGUCACUGCUGGCUAUUGUGGGCACAGUCUGUCUGCUGGAUAACCUUCUAAAAUACAGAAUGUGUCUGCCCUUUACAAAAAAAAUAAGCGAUCAGGGCAGUGUUUGGCUUGUGCCCAUUGAGUUACAUCAUUUAUUUGUCUAGGAUAUGUCCUCUGGUUAAUUGUGGGCAGUGCCAGGAGGUGGACGGCUGACAUUCUGCCCA